This 80-nucleotide transfer RNA is filed under the name Muribaculaceae bacterium. RNAcentral's name for it is "tRNA-OTHER". It matches the Rfam family "tRNA". Rfam says of the family: Transfer RNA (tRNA) molecules are approximately 80 nucleotides in length. Lineage: Bacteria; Pseudomonadati; Bacteroidota; Bacteroidia; Bacteroidales; Muribaculaceae. The record is from RNAcentral.
GCGAGGAUAGCUCAACGGCAGAGCCCGCCGAAAGUUGAACGCUCCGGCGCAUGCAGGUUCGAUUCCUGCUCCUCGCACCA